CGCAGAAUCUACGUCCAGAAUCGGAGCCAAUGAUGAAGUUUACGAUGACAUGCGUCACCACCCACGUCUCGUCGGCAGAGAGGGCAGAGCGGCGAUGCCAUGGUGGAAAUGGAGGCGUGUGCAGACGCAGUUGCCUCUGUCUUCGACUGUGGCUCUGCCUCAUGGUUCUGUCUUUCGAAAAACAAACAAAAACCGAAUCAAUUUACCACAAAAUCGAUUUGAAAUUGUUGCUGUCUCUGCGCUCCCCUCCAUUUUGGUUUGCGUCUGUUCCUCU
This 274-nucleotide long non-coding RNA is filed under the name Drosophila guanche. The record is from RNAcentral. Lineage: Eukaryota; Metazoa; Arthropoda; Insecta; Diptera; Drosophilidae.